Molecule: ribosomal RNA, 243 nt
Filed under: Salmonella enterica subsp. enterica serovar Kentucky
Lineage: Bacteria; Pseudomonadati; Pseudomonadota; Gammaproteobacteria; Enterobacterales; Enterobacteriaceae
Description: partial 23S ribosomal RNA
Rfam family: Bacterial large subunit ribosomal RNA
Source: RNAcentral
UCAUUUAAAGAAAGCGUAAUAGCUCACUGGUCGAGUCGGCCUGCGCGGAAGAUGUAACGGGGCUAAACCAUGCACCGAAGCUGCGGCAGCGACACUGUGUGUUGUUGGGUAGGGGAGCGUUCUGUAAGCCUGCGAAGGUGUCCCGUGAGGGAUGCUGGAGGUAUCAGAAGUGCGAAUGCUGACAUAAGUAACGAUAAAGCGGGUGAAAAGCCCGCUCGCCGGAAGACCAAGGGUUCCUGUCCA